This 459-nucleotide ribosomal RNA is filed under the name uncultured bacterium. RNAcentral's name for it is "partial 16S ribosomal RNA". It matches the Rfam family "Bacterial small subunit ribosomal RNA", at positions 338 to 795 of the family's 1533-position model. The record is from RNAcentral.
CCUACGGGUGGCAGCAGUGGGGAAUAUUGCACAAUGGGCGCAAGCCUGAUGCAGCGACGCCGCGUGCGGGAUGGAGGCCUUCGGGUUGUAAACCGCUUUUGUUCAAGGGCAAGGCACGGUCUUUGGCCGUGUUGAGUGGAUUGUUCGAAUAAGCACCGGCUAACUACGUGCCAGCAGCCGCGGUAAUACGGAGGGUGCAAGCGUUUUCCGGGUUGUUUGGGUUUAAAGGGUGCGUAGGCUGUGAGGUAAGUCAGCGGUGAAAUGCCCGCGCUCAACGGGGUGAAGUGCCAUUGAUACUGCCUGGCUGGAAUGCGGAUGCCGUGGGAGGAAUGUGUGGUGUAGCGGUGAAAUGCAUAGAUAUCACACAGAACACCGAUUGCGAAGGCAUCUCACGAAUCCGCGAUUGACGCUGAUGCACGAAAGCGUGGGUAUCAAACAGGAUUAGAUACCCCAGUAGUC